GCAACUUGAACAUACAGAUUUCAUCAGAUUUUAGAAGCUAAGCAGGCGCUUGCCUGGUUAGUUCUUGGAUGGGAGGCCACCAGAGAAGCCCAGGGC
This 96-nucleotide ribosomal RNA is filed under the name Pogona vitticeps (central bearded dragon). Lineage: Eukaryota; Metazoa; Chordata; Lepidosauria; Squamata; Agamidae. The record is from RNAcentral.